Molecule: ribosomal RNA, 453 nt
Filed under: uncultured bacterium
Lineage: Bacteria
Description: bacterial SSU rRNA
Rfam family: Bacterial small subunit ribosomal RNA
Source: RNAcentral
GAGAGCGUAUUUAUAUUUGAACCCGGCUGGGGAUAUAGUAAAAGCAAGAUCGAGUAUCAAGUGUAGAGUACACGAGCGGCGGACGGGUGAGUAACACGUGGGAAUCUACCCCAAACUGAGGGAUAAGCAUCGGAAACGGUGUCUAAUACCGCAUAUGGUCUUCGGAUUAAAGCUUUCGGCGGUUUGGGGAAGAGCCCGCGCAAGAUUAGCUAGUUGGUGAGGUAAUAGCUCACCAAGGCAACGAUCUUUAACUGGUUUGAGAGGAUGAUCAGUCACACUGGAACUGAGACACGGUCCAGACUCCUACGGGAGGCAGCAGUAAGGAAUUUCCACAAUGGGCGAAAGCCUGAUGGAGCAACGCCGCGUGCAGGAUGAAGGCCCUAGGGUUGUAAACUGCUUUUAUAUGUGACGAAUAUGACGGUAGCAUAUGAAUAAGGAUCGGCUAACUCCGUG